This 329-nucleotide ribosomal RNA is filed under the name uncultured eukaryote. RNAcentral's name for it is "partial 18S ribosomal RNA". It matches the Rfam family "Eukaryotic small subunit ribosomal RNA", at positions 1470 to 1796 of the family's 1831-position model. The record is from RNAcentral.
CCCUUAGAUGUUCUGGGCCGCACGCGCGCUACACUGAUGCAUUCAACGAGUCUAAAACCUGCUCUGAUAGGGGUGGGUAAUCUUUUGAAUGUGCAUCGUGAUUGGGAUAGAUGAUUGCAAUUUUUCAUCUUCAACGAGGAAUGCCUAGUAAACGCAAGUCAUCAGCUUGCAUUGAUUACGUCCCUGCCCUUUGUACACACCGCCCGUCGCUCCUACCGAUUGAAUGAUCCGAUUAAUAUCAUGGAUUGAGGAUGCAAGCAGGUUCGCCUGUCUUCAUCUUCGAGAAGUGAAGUAAAUCUUAUCAUUUAGAGGAAGGAGAAGUCGUAACA